UGCAAGCCUCCACACGCCAGUGAGAAUGCCCAUACACCCCUAAACAGCACGUUGGAGCAGGCAUCAGGACACAACACUUUUUAGCCAAAGACGCCUUGCACACGCCACACCCCCACGGGCCCUCAGCAGUAAUUGACAUUAAGCAUAAGCGAAAGCUCGACUCAGUUAUGAUUAAUUAUGGUCGGUAAAUUUCGUGCCAGCCACCGCGGUUAUACGAAAGACUAAAAACAACAGCCAUCGGCGUAAAGCGUGACUCGGGAUAACAACCACUAAAGGAGAACUUCUGCCAAGUUGUAAAAUACUACCGCACACAGAAUCACAAUAAGACACCUUUAAACUGCCCCUACUUCACGAAAGCUAAGAAACAAACUGGGAUUAGAUACCCCACUAUGCCUAGCCGUAAACACAGAUAGUAUAAAUACAACACUAUUCGCCAGAGAACUACAAGCGAAAAGCUAAAAACUCCAAGGAUUUGGCGGUGCUUCAAAUCAACCUAGAGGAGCCUGUCCUAUAAUCGAUACCCCACGUUUAACCUUACCACUCCUAGCCAACCAGCCUAUAUACCGCCGUCGUCAGCCUACCUUAUGAAAGACUUAGAGUAAGCAAAAAAGUUAAUAACUAACACGUCAGGUCAAGGUGUAGCACACGGAGCGGCAGAGAUGGGCUACAUUUUCUUCAAAAGAAGACACGAAUGGUAAACUGAAACACACACUUGAAGGCGGAUUUAGCAGUAAAAUAAACAAGAAUAUAUAUUUUAAACCCGCUCUGAAGCGCGCACACACCGCCCGUCACCCUCAUCA
RNAcentral lists this ribosomal RNA (800 nucleotides) under Coggeria naufragus. RNAcentral's name for it is "partial 12S ribosomal RNA". It matches the Rfam family "Bacterial small subunit ribosomal RNA", at positions 56 to 1408 of the family's 1533-position model. Lineage: Eukaryota; Metazoa; Chordata; Lepidosauria; Squamata; Scincidae. The record is from RNAcentral.